GCGGGAGUGGUGAAACUGGUAGACACGCAGCCUUGAGGUGGCUGUGGGAGAAAUCCCUUGGGGGUUCGAGUCCCUUCUUCCGCACCA
Molecule: transfer RNA, 87 nt
Filed under: Candidatus Babelota bacterium
Lineage: Bacteria
Description: tRNA-Leu
Rfam family: tRNA
About the family: Transfer RNA (tRNA) molecules are approximately 80 nucleotides in length.
Source: RNAcentral